UCGCUCCUACCGAUUUCGAGUGAUACGGUGAACCUUUUGGACUGGCCGCAAGGCCGGGAAGUUAAGUAAACCUUAUUACUUAGAGGAAGGAG
Molecule: ribosomal RNA, 92 nt
Filed under: uncultured eukaryote
Lineage: Eukaryota
Description: partial small subunit ribosomal RNA
Source: RNAcentral